GCUUUUAUUAGGUUGGUGCAAAAGUGAUUGCAGUUUUUAUAGUUACAUUUAAUGGCAAAAACUGCAAUUACUUUUGCACCAACCUAAGUAUUUU
RNAcentral lists this microRNA precursor (94 nucleotides) under Chlorocebus sabaeus (green monkey). RNAcentral describes it as "miRNA (ENSCSAG00000026505.1)". Lineage: Eukaryota; Metazoa; Chordata; Mammalia; Primates; Cercopithecidae. The record is from RNAcentral.